GGGGGCUUAGGAUAAAUAGACCAAGAGCCUUCAAAGCCCUAAGUAGAAGUUGAACUCUUCUAGCCCUCG
RNAcentral lists this transfer RNA (69 nucleotides) under Rasbora ennealepis. RNAcentral's name for it is "tRNA-Trp". It matches the Rfam family "tRNA". From Rfam's summary of the family: Transfer RNA (tRNA) molecules are approximately 80 nucleotides in length. Their secondary structure includes four short double-helical elements and three loops (D, anti-codon, and T loops). The record is from RNAcentral. Lineage: Eukaryota; Metazoa; Chordata; Actinopteri; Cypriniformes; Danionidae.